This 250-nucleotide unclassified non-coding RNA is filed under the name plant metagenome. RNAcentral describes it as "partial contains small subunit ribosomal RNA, internal transcribed spacer 1, and 5.8S ribosomal RNA". The record is from RNAcentral.
GUAGGUGAACCUGCGGAAGGAUCAUUAUCAACGUAUCCACGUUAUACCAACCGUGAACCUUUCUUUGCCUCUGGCUGGUGUGGUGAGUGGGAUUAGGUUUAAAUGACACUGGCGCUGAGUGAAUUUUUUCACUCUGGGACUCUCUUUAGUUGUGCAUUUGAAGAGUACCGUUCAGUGUUGUUUGCUUUUUCUCCUCGAUUCAAUUCGUACCAUGCUGGCCAGAGCGUAGUUUCAAAUCCCGCACUGUUUU